CUCAGAUGUGUGAGGAAAGACAAACUGGACGCCAUGGUGCCGAAUCCACCUCCACACUCUUUAUUACACGAGACGUCCAGGUGCUCCAAACCCACCAGGAACUUCAUCUUCUCUCCUGUUGUGAUGAACAGAGCUGUGACCAUCAGACUGAAGAGAGAAUUUUAAAAGCGCGCUGAGGAGCAGAUGAUCAGAUGAUCAGAGUGCUGGAGCUUCUGCUGCUUCCGGAAGUGAGAGAGAGAGAGAGAGAGAGAGAGAGAGAGAGCGAGAGAGAGAGAGAGAGAGAGAGCGAGGGGAAAACUCACGGGGUCACGUGAUCACAACACCACACGCGCGUCACGCGCUCAGGUGAACAUCUUUACAACAAUACACUUUUCCUCGGGGAUUUUCUACAAACUGUAUACAUCGGAUAUUACACUAAAACUCAUUCUGUAACACAUUUAUGCAUUAAUGAUAAUGAUUAAUAAUUAGUGCUUAUUAAGAAACACUUUGAUGACUAAAAAAGUUUCUAUAUAAAUCCCUGUGUAUGAUUAAAUACCUUUUUUCUGCAAAAUGCACGUGAGGUUGUGGAGUCUUUUACACUUCACUGCUGUGUUUUUUUUUUAAACUGCGUUCAUUAAUUUUUUUUAUAAAUAUUUAUUUCUAAACACGUCUUUGCGGGUGCCAUUACUUUUGCACAAUAUUAUGUAUAAAAAAAUAAACCAGUAAAUAAACAGAGAGCUAAACGGUGAAGAAUAAAUACAGUAAAUUCUCAUUUAUUAAAUAAACAAAGGACACAAUUAAAACAAAAAUGCUCUGUAUUUUUUUUAUUUAAUUAUAUUUUAUUGUGUAUAAUGUUUUAUAUUUUUUAUAGGUUAAUAAAUAAUCUAAAAUAUACACUACUGUAUAACAAAGCGGUGUAGAAAACAUACAGAAGGUUAGAGGUGUAGAUUAUUAAUGCUCUGGA
Molecule: long non-coding RNA, 943 nt
Organism: Hemibagrus wyckioides
Lineage: Eukaryota; Metazoa; Chordata; Actinopteri; Siluriformes; Bagridae
Exons: 3
Source: RefSeq, a predicted model, not a curated record